CCGUCUGAUCUGUUAGAGAUAGCAGCGGCCUUCGGGACAGAGGAGACAGGUGGUGCAUGGUUGUCGUCAGCUCGUGUCGUGAGAUGUUGGGUUAAGUCCCGCAACGAGCGCAACCCUUGACUUUAGUUGCCAGCAGGUAAGGCUGGGCACUCUAGAGUGACUGCCGGUGACAAACCGGAGGAAGGUGGGGAUGACGUCAAAUCAUCAUGCCCCUUAUGACCUGGGCUACACACGUACUACAAUGGCCGGUACAACGGGAAGCGAAGGAGCGAUCUGGAGCCAAUCCCAGCAAAGCCGGUCUCAGUUCGGAUUGCAGGCUGCAACUCGCCUGCAUGAAGUCGGAAUUGCUAGUAAUCGCGGAUCAGCAUGCCGCGGUGAAUACGUUCCCGGGUCUUGUACACACCGCCCGUCACACCACGAGAGUUUACAACACCCGAAGUCGGUGGGGUAACCCGCAAGGGAGCCAGCCGCCGAAGGUGGGGUAGAUGAUUGGGGUGAAGUCGUAACAGGGGUAAGCCGUA
RNAcentral lists this ribosomal RNA (521 nucleotides) under bacterium PH-EB030. RNAcentral's name for it is "bacterial SSU rRNA". It matches the Rfam family "Bacterial small subunit ribosomal RNA", at positions 988 to 1504 of the family's 1533-position model. The record is from RNAcentral.